CUCAAAUUAGUUAUGCUGCGUUCAUAAUAUGGUAAUGGGUGAAAGUAAGGCAGGACGGUCCUGUAUGGCGUCCCAGCAAAAUAAAUAGUGGGGGUACGCGGUACCGGUAAAACGUGAGCCUUUCACAACAUGCCCAAAAAUCUAUAGGCUACACCAUUAUUUAACAUUACGGCAUUUCAGGCCCAUUAAAAAUGUGCGAAUUGACUCGAAACCAGGUGGUGGUAUACGCACCAAAUUGUGUUGUGGUUUGAGGAGAACACUUAUAUUUUGACGAGGCAGAGAUAUUGGCUGAGACGCUCGCGGACAAGGCGGAGAUGAGCGCGUGGACAACAGAGGAUGCAUCAAUUCAGGCUACAAGUGUAGGCCUAAUGACAAUCAUAGAAUGUUAUUACAAUACACGAAGGUCUUUUGUAACAGAUAUGUCUUUCCAUUCAUCAGUGCACUGUUGGGGUUUGGGUGCUGAUAUUACUUUGUGAGUGGACGAAUGUGCGCGGGGGGCCUACAGGAGCGCAUUUGUUAAGUGAUUGUUUGACAAUCAGAUACAAAUAUAUUGACUGGUUGUGUUUACGCCACAUUAAAAGGCAUAGGCCGCGUGUCCAUAAGGCUAAGGGAAGCUUUCCCUAAAGUAAAUGUAAUUAAAUUGCCAAAAGUGUAUAGCCUAAUUGGCUUACUCCUGUCUAUAGAUAAAUAAAUAAAAUCAUAAAAAAUAGGCUACUGCACCAGAAAGCAUGAUUUGGCCACAGAGGAUCAUUAGCUUCAUAAACAAACAAAAAAACGGGAUUUUAAAAAAAUCGCAUGGCCCACAGUCGGAAGGGCUGUGGGCUAUGCGAGCUGCAAAUACCAAAUAAUAGAUCAUUGUUGAGUUGCGACUGUCAGUGAAAAGCAAAGAGACCCAGCCAGGCAUAUUGCAAAAUUUAAAAACACAAUCGCGGGAAAACUGUUUGGAAAGCAAAUGGCUAAGAUAUUACAAUGAAAAGAUUCCAAUCUGUCUUUUAGUUUUCAAAAUUAUUAACUUAAUUGAGGGAACAGUAUGGGCACCAGCGGAGAACUUCGGCCAUAUCCCCGGUGAGUGUGCAUAUUCACUGUCUUUGUCAUUGGGUCAAUGCCACAAUAAUAAUUUCCUCUUCCAGGUUAGAUGGACUUCAUAUUGUAUUUGUGUCUCCACUUUUCGUAGGCCAAUUAUACAUUGAUCAGACAAUAUUGUUUUUAUUGAUCUGUUUGUUAUUGUCAACAGAGUAGGCUACCCUGUAUUUUUUGUAGUAUAAAAAAAAUGUGUGCAUGCACUUGGGUGUCCAGUACCAGUAAGAAAUUAAAUCUACUUUAACCCCUGAAUGUGAAAUACCACCUUUCCACUCAGUUAUGAAUGCAUCAUUACACUGAAUUUAUGCUUGGUUCAUAACCAAGUAGGAAGGUAGUAUCUACCAAAUAUGACUGGAAAAAUCCACAUGAAAGCCCCUCCAAAUUCGUCUAUCAUCUAGGUGGCAGUGUGCACCCUUUCAGUUUGUUUGCCAACUCACCAAAGUAGUAGAAGAAGAAAAUGGACUACUUCAAAAUGGAGAUGGCCUCAAUGGUGCUGCCAGUGCACAAAAUGUGAUUCAUUCUAAAGAGUAGGCCCAGAGAAAAUUACACAGAGUGCUCAAUAGCCUUCACCAACAAGAGAUAGAAUUCAGGCAACAGACAACCAGCAACGAUAACUUUCAGAAGCAGAUUAAGAGCCUUCGCAAGGAGAAGACACAACUGCAGUCCCACAAAUCUUCACUUGGUGAGAUAACUUUGUGUGAGACACCCUAAUUAGGAUUUGAUAUAUUGACUAGUAACCAAACAAACAUUGUCUUCACAGAGGAAAGCUCUGGCCUAUGUUUGCCAAGAUGUGAUAUGCUAAACUCAAUGUGUUACUACUUUGCAAUUUCUGUCACCAUUGAGCCUAGAAGCUGGGGAGAGGCGAGAAAAGACUGUUUAAGUCAUGGAGCUGACCUGGUUCUGGUAGAUAGCUGGGAGAAGCAGGCAUUCAUAAGUAAGAUGAUACACAAAGUGCAGUUUAACACCAAACCCAUGCACAUGAAAGGGUUAUGGAUAGGACUGAAGGAGGAAGAGGAUACAGAGGGCACCUGGACAUGGGUUAACGGGACUGAGCUGACUCAGAGGUACUGGCAUGAGACAGCCCAAAGACCACUUUGGAAUGGAGGACUGUGCGGCCAUCCAUCCCAAAAUAUAUCCCAUGAAGUCCUGGAAUGAUGCUGUGUACACAUCCAUUGAAAUGGAUAUGUGAAAUAAAAUCAAGGAAAGCUUAGAAAUUACUGUAAAAUUUCCAUUAUUUCAAUAAGUAAAUACAUACAUUCAAAAUAAUAAGCAUUGGAAUCAAAUGUAACUUAAGUUGUACAUAACAUUUUAUCUGAUAAAAGAAAUUGUCAUACUGUAAAGUUAAACACAACUUAAUUUGUUCUGCAUCUUAAAAAAAAAAAAAAAACAUGUUUAUAUAGUUUAUUCCUUACAAACAA
Non-coding RNA from Salvelinus sp. IW2-2015, 2498 nucleotides. The record is from RefSeq and is a predicted model, not a curated record. NCBI's taxonomy places the organism in Eukaryota, Metazoa, Chordata, Actinopteri, Salmoniformes, Salmonidae.